Molecule: long non-coding RNA, 811 nt
Filed under: Homo sapiens (human)
Lineage: Eukaryota; Metazoa; Chordata; Mammalia; Primates; Hominidae
Description: HSALNT0403976
Source: RNAcentral
CAGAAACCCAUUUUGCAGAUGAGGAGAUUGAAGUAUACAAAGCUUAUAUUAUUUGCUCAAGGCCACAAAGUUUGUGAGUGGAACUAGAAUUAGAUGCCUGGCAGCCUGGCCCCUGAGCCUGCCCUCUUAACCAUGACUGUAGCUUGCAUCUCUCAAUAUUUGCUAUUAAGAGUUUUAAGUUCUUGACAAAAAGGAGCCUGAAGAGUAUAAUUAAUUGUCUGAAGAGUGGGAAAUCAAACCAAAGGGAGAUGUUUACUGAAGCUGCAUAUAAUGGAGCUUUUUUUUUCCUAAAGAAGAAAGGCAUGCAUUGGACACUUCCUUUCCAGAAAGCAGCAAGCAAGGCCAAUCUUUGGAAAGUAUGCAUUUAGGACAGUACAGCUAUUAUCACAUCCCUGAUGCUGAUGUGGUGACUAAGAUGGAGAACUUGGGUGUUCAUCACAUGUCUCUUCAAUCAUCAAGCAGCCCAGCUUCCUCAAACAGCUUUGGAAAUGCUCUUCAUUUCAGAAAUAAAACAAUGGAAAAUGAGCCCUGCCUGGAUAGGAAAAGUCCAUACAUUGCAUUUUCAUUGACCUCCUGGGCUCACUUGUUGUAGGGCUUUGUAAUACAUAGAAGAGGUUUUUGAGCUACUAAUACCUAAGACGGCUUUUGUUAACCAGCUGUUAAUUUGAGAGUAACUAAGGAAAGCAGAGAUCUCAUUCCACUUUACCGUUUUCAGUGCAAUGCAUCCUGGCAAUACAAGUUAAGAAACAAGAAGAUACUUUUGCAUAGCCAUUCAACUUCUAGAAGUUUCUAGAAGGAAACUGUCUUAGGG